UUUGGAGUUUGAUCCUGGCUCAGGACGAACGCGGGCGGCAUGCCUAAUACAUGCAAGUCGAACGAUGAAGCUUUCCUGCUUGCAGGAAGCGAUUUAGUGGCGAACGGGUGAGUAACACGUGGGGAAUCUGCCCAUGAGCGAGGAAUAACAUUCGGAAAACGGAUGCUAAUACCUCAUAAGUUCUCUGACCUCCUGGUCAUUGAAUAAAAGACGGCCUUUGUGCUGUCACUCAUGGAUGAUCCCGCGGCGUAUUAGUUAGUUGGUGAGGUAAUGGCUCACCAAGACCAUGAUACGUAGCCGACCUGAGAGGGUGAUCGGCCACACUGGAACUGAGAACGGCCCAGACUCCUACGGGAGGCAGCAGUAGGGAAUCUUCCACAAUGGGCGCAAGCCUGAUGGAGCAAUGCCGCGUGAAUGAAGAAGGUCUUCGGAUCGUAAAGUUCUGUUAUUAGAGAAGAAUAAGUUGAGGGGUAACUAUCUCGACUUUGACGGUACCUAACCAGAAAGUCACGGCUAACUACGUGCCAGCAGCCGCGGUAAUACGUAGGUGACAAGCGUUGUCCGGAAUUAUUGGGCGUAAAGGGAGCGCAGGCGGUUGGAAUAGUCUGAUGUGAAAGCCCACGGCUUAACCGUGGAAGGUCAUUGGAAACUGUCCAACUUGAAUGCAGAAGAGGUAAGUGGAAUUCCAUGUGUAGCGGUGAAAUGCGUAGAUAUGUGGAGGAACACCAGUGGCGAAAGCGACUUACUGGUCUGUAAUUGACGCUGAGGCUCGAAAGCGUGGGUAGCGAACAGGAUUAGAUACCCUGGUAGUCCACGCUGUAAACGAUGAGUGCUAGGUGUUGGAGGGUUUCCGCCCUUCGGUGCCGGAGCUAACGUAUAAGCACUCCG
This 888-nucleotide ribosomal RNA is filed under the name uncultured bacterium. Its description in RNAcentral is "bacterial SSU rRNA". It matches the Rfam family "Bacterial small subunit ribosomal RNA", at positions 1 to 871 of the family's 1533-position model. The record is from RNAcentral.